This 303-nucleotide ribosomal RNA is filed under the name uncultured bacterium. RNAcentral describes it as "partial 16S ribosomal RNA". It matches the Rfam family "Bacterial small subunit ribosomal RNA", at positions 507 to 807 of the family's 1533-position model. The record is from RNAcentral.
AGCAGUCGCCACGGUAAUACGUAGGUGGCAAGCGUUGUCCGGAAUUAUUGGGCGUAAAGGGCUCGCAGGCGGUUUCUUAAGUCUGAUGUGAAAGCCCCCGGCUCAACCGGGGAGGGUCAUUGGAAACUGGGAAACUUGAGUGCAGAAGAGGAGAGUGGAAUUCCACGUGUAGCGGUGAAAUGCGUAGAGAUGUGGAGGAACACCAGUGGCGAAGGCGACUCUCUGGUCUGUAACUGACGCUGAGGAGCGAAAGCGUGGGGAGCGAACAGGAUUAGAUACCCGCGUAGUCCCUGUCCCUUAUAC